AUGAUGGAUAGAUUAUCUCCCUGCUCUGCUGCAAGGGGGACUGCAGAUAUAUUUUCUUGUUUAUUUAGAUAUGUACCUACUAUGGUUUAUAUCUGGGUGCAAUGCAUGGAUUCGACCGUUGGGCUUACUCUGGAGCGCUUGAAAGUGGCUGGCAGCGCCACGACAACAGAAGUUUGCAUACUGUCCAGUCUUGCUAGCACGCGGAAACAAAUGGGAUUUCCAAAGAGGAACAAAAUUCCACAUGUUCCCUGCUCAGGAAAACGCACAAAGGGAAUUUGUUUUCUGUCGAUUACUGAUUUUUAA
This 303-nucleotide ribosomal RNA is filed under the name Triticum aestivum (bread wheat). RNAcentral's name for it is "partial small subunit ribosomal RNA". Lineage: Eukaryota; Viridiplantae; Streptophyta; Magnoliopsida; Poales; Poaceae. The record is from RNAcentral.